CCUGACYGYUAUCGGAUUGAUACUAAGCCAUGCGAGUCAUUGUASCAAUACAAGGCAGACGGCUCAGUAACGCGUAGUCAACCUACCCUAUGGACGGGAAUAACCUCGGGGAACUGAGUAUAAUGCCCGAUAGAACACUAUGCCUGGAAAGGUUUGUGUUCCAAACGAUUUAUCGCCGUAGGAUGGGACUGCGGCCUAUCAGUUUGUUGGUGAGGUAAUGGCCCACCAAGACUAUUACAGGUACGGGCUCUGAGAGGAGUAGCCCGGAGAUGGGUACUGAGACACAGACCCAGGCCCUAUGGGGCGCAGCAGGCGAGAAAACUUUGCAAUGUGCGAAAGCACGACAAGGUUAAUCCGAGUGGUUUCUGCUAAAGGAACCUUUUGACAGUCCUAAAAACACUGUUGAAUAAGGGGUGGGCAAGUUCUGGUGUCAGCCGCCGCGGUAAAACCAGCACCUCAAGUGGUCAGGAUGAUUAUUGGGCCUAAAGCAUCCGUAGCCGGCUCUGUUAGUUUUCGGUUAAAUCUGUACGCUCAACGUACAGGCUGCCGGAAAUACUGCAGAGCUAGGGAGUGGGAGAGGUAGGCGGUACUCGGUAGGAAGGGGUAAAAUCCUUUGAUCUAUUGAUGACCACCUGUGGCGAAGGCGGUCUACCAGAACACGUCCGACGGUGAGGGAUGAAAGCUGGGGGAGCAAACCGGAUUAGAUACCCGGGUAGUCCCAGCUGUAAACUAUGCAAACUCAGUGAUGCAUUGGCUUGUGGCCAAUGCAGUGCUGCAKGSAAGCCGUUAAGUUGCSCCUGGGAAGUACGUACGCAGUAUGAAACUUAAGGAAUUGGCGGGGGAGCACCACAGGGGUGAAGCCUGCGGUUC
Molecule: ribosomal RNA, 870 nt
Filed under: uncultured archaeon
Lineage: Archaea
Description: bacterial SSU rRNA
Rfam family: Archaeal small subunit ribosomal RNA
Source: RNAcentral